This 549-nucleotide unclassified non-coding RNA is filed under the name Hevea brasiliensis (rubber tree). Lineage: Eukaryota; Viridiplantae; Streptophyta; Magnoliopsida; Malpighiales; Euphorbiaceae. The record is from RNAcentral.
GCAAGAUCUUGGGAAAUGUAUUGUUGAAAUCCUUACAGAUAUCUUUCUUCUGGAACCUGAUUUGCUUUUGCUAUUCUGUUCAACAUUCCAAGAGACCUGCCUUGGUGUAUUUCAAGAAACAGACAGUUCUAUUGAGAAUGGUGAAGGGGUGACUGAGUUCUUGUCAGUAGUGAAUCAACAAGCAGUAAGGAAAGGUGAAACUUGGCCUCUAGUUUAUUUGGUGGGACCAACAUUGUCGAAGUCAUUCCCCUUGAUUAGAACACUUGAUUCCCCUAAUGCAGUGAGAUUUAUGGUGGCUGCUGUCUCUAUAUUUAGUCCGCGGAAGAUAAUUCAAGAGAUCUUUUGCAUUGAACCCGAAGGAAACCAAUUCUUGCAUGUCUUCAAGGAAACCUUUAUCCCAUGGUGCUUGCAGGCUAACAGUCCCACUACUAGCGUGCGUCUAGAUCUCUUGCUUUCGUUACUUGAUGAUGAAUACUUAGCGGAACAGUGGGCUAGCAUCAUUAUGCAUGCAACAAAUUUGGAAGAACUGAAAUCUGUCAAUGGAAUUGU